UACAAUUUUCCUUGUUGGUUGCGAAGUACCCACGGAAUCUCCUCCUUUUUUUAACAUUGUUUCAAGAUUACUCAACAACUGUCAAGAGAAUGCAAAAAGAGGACCGAAAGAUACCAAAGGAACAGUCAAGCUCUGAAAUCGAAAACAAACCGACAACGCCAUGGCCAAAAAAUAAAAGGACAAACAGAAAACAAUAGCAAACAAAACACAAC
This 212-nucleotide long non-coding RNA is filed under the name Mytilus galloprovincialis (Mediterranean mussel). The record is from RNAcentral. Lineage: Eukaryota; Metazoa; Mollusca; Bivalvia; Mytilida; Mytilidae.